Long non-coding RNA from Zootermopsis nevadensis, 4648 nucleotides. RefSeq lists it as uncharacterized. NCBI's taxonomy places the organism in Eukaryota, Metazoa, Arthropoda, Insecta, Blattodea, Termopsidae. The record is from RefSeq and is a predicted model, not a curated record.
UUAGGCUGAUGUUAAUGGUCAUGAAAAUGUUGAGAAGGGCAGGGUGUAUUCUUAUGAUUGGUGUGUGUUGAGUAGAGUGGUUGAGUUUGUGUGGAUUAUUUCACCGGAAUGUGGCAAUUUACAUCUAACGUAUGUCAGUGCCUCUCGUGAUAAUAGGUCUGGUCUGAUAUUAGAAAUUAGCUCAGUGGACUUACUCUGAAAGAUGUACUGCGUACAGCAUGUUUUUCCGUCGUCGAUUCCCCAAUGUGAUAUCCAUUGUAUUAGUCAUUGGGGGAUUAUUUGUAUCUUUAUUCAUCAUAAUAAAAAUGAAAUACCUAUACGAUAGCAACCAAAAGUUUCACAGACUUCAAGGUUACAAACAAUAUAUGGAGGAAAUAUCAGACUACAUGCGCAGUGUUGAGGUGUCAGCCAACAAAUCAGCCAUGAGCUUACAUCGCUUGAACUCCGUGCUUCAGAGGCAAGAGCAGCAACUAGUGACAGGAAUGAGUACUAACAAAGCUACUAGAAGAUAACACAAUCUUGGGUGGAUAGAAUUUCAGUUAUAAGUGACUAGAGGAGUAGUACUAGAAGCAAGCAACCUGCUGCUAUACCAGAGUAAGGGUGCAGAGAACUUGGUGAAAUGUUCUGGUACGCAAGGCAGCAUUCAUCAUGUUGGGUCUUUAUCUGAGAUGAAUCAUACUGUUUGCUGUAUUGUUCAUAGGUCUGGUAUAUUUUUCCUUAUUUUAUAGUACAUUACUUCCCCUUGUAUUGUGCUUUUCAUUGCUGUGUGCCUUAGAUAACUUCAUUAAACUUAUUUUGUAUAUAAGACAUCAAUUCGGAAAUAUUUUCAUGUCUGCACAUGCCUUCAUAUGGCAGACAUCUUGUUCUGUUUAUGCUUAUACUGCAGUUGUGUUGGACAUUUGCCAUUGUCUGAGUCAGAUGUGGUAUACUCCGUGCUACUUAAAAGAGAGGUGACAUUUCCAGGGGUCAUCACAUGGGUGGGGAAAAUCAUAACCACCUAUGUUAUUAAUUCCUGGCUUAAGCUUAGGUAAUUAUUUUUUGUUCCUGUAUUUUCCUACAAAUGCAUACAUACACAUGUGAGUUUCAUUGAAACACAAUCAGUGACAGUUCAUCUUCUCCUUUUGCCUGUCUUAUGUCACAUUUUGCACCACAGAAAAUAAUUUUUUUAGUAUUUGUUACUUCUAAUGUUAGUAGCACAACCAAUACUUGCAUGUUACUUUAGAAUGAUUUAAAGGAUGCUUGAGGCAGGAGUAACCCAUUGACCCUGUAAAAUGCAAAGUGCUUCCUGAUUACCAUAUCCAAAGAUACAGUGAAACUGGGACAAGAAUGUGACUGAAUAAUAAUUUGGAACAGAGAUUAUAAGGCACGGUGAAAUAUUGUCUUUCUGUGUACGACAUCUUUCCUGUGUCAGCAUUGUCUGUUACCAUGUCUUAGUAUGGUACACUGUCUACUAAACUAUGACAGUUUCCUUCCACAUCCUUUCCAAUUCAUCAUUUAUAGUUUGCACUGUAUAACAUGAGAAUGACAAAGCAUUGCCAAUUAAGUUACAAGGAAGCAUAAUUAAUUAAACUAAGAAAUAAGCUGUUGCUUAAGUUUGUGAUAAAACCAAUUCCUGACAUUUUGAGUAAAUUAAAUGUGCCUCAUACAGUUGAUGAUGUUCAACAUAUUUGCAUUGUAAUGCAUCAUCUGUUGUCACAACUUUUAGAUAUGUUUUAAGUUUACUUGUGUUUGGUAAUUACAUUUGUGAUCUGUAAACAUUCCUGUCUGUGAUAUAUACUUAGUCUUCUAAUCUGUCACGUUGGUUAAUGUUUUGUGGUCACAGCUGUUAUGUCAAUGUAGUGUUCAUAUAUUUUUGCAUGAUUAUGUCUGUCCAUUAUGUAGUUCUUGUGUAAAGAACUUAUCAUGUGUAAACUAUUAUAUAGUAAUGUCCUCAGAAACGUUUGUUGAGGUUGGUGCUUUAAUUUUCUUUGUGGUCUGCUGGAACGAAUUUCAGAACAUGAUAUGAAUAUCUUAUAAGACUUAUUCCACGUAGAACACUUUUGUCGAGUCUAAGAUUUAUUUGUAGUUUUCUUAACGGUACUCAUUUUAAGGAUAACUGUUUAAUAUUAUGGAGCAUCUGAAGAGCAAUUAUGUCAGGAGACUAUGAAACAGAAAGAAGUUCUUGGAACCCUUAAAGAUGUUUUAUUGUGCAGUUCCCACUUCAGGAUAUUUAAAAAAGGUUAAAAUAAUUGUGUUCCUUUUUGUGGUUCAUAAACUGUAUUAAAUUUCUGGGAAAUGAUAAAAUCUGUUUGAGGCAGCUUGAAAGUAUGUUUACGAGACUCGUGUUUUGAAAUUUGUAUGACUCAUCAUAAAACUACUUUUCUGCAGUGUCCUCUGAAGAUUGAGACAUCAUAAUUAUGUAUCUGCAUCCAUGUUUGGUACAAGCAAGGUUCCUGAUUCCAUCAAAAUAAUGUGGUUGCAUCUUCAAGCUAUUCUUGAACCACUUAUUUUCAUAAAUGAUACUCAUUUCAUGUGCACAUUCAUCAGUGCUGAUUGUUUAGUUCUUUUGAAUAUCCUGAUUAGUCAGUUCCUCAAUACAGAUCUGCAGUUGAUGACUCUCCAGGAGUUUAUCAUCAACACACUUCACCCACCUUUGAUUUCUUCAACAACAUUUUUAAUUUUCCCCUGGCUCACAUCUUCUGACCACAUAAACUGUAUGUCAUUGUUCUUUGCUGCAGUCUGUUAAUAUAAUAGUCAUGUUAAGUAAGUCACAUUAUCACUACUGAAAGCAAAUUAACAUAGGUUCAUAUUUGCAUGUGCGCUCAUGCAUGGAUGCAUACACUCUUGUUCAGUGCUGCCAAGAUAAAAUGAGUAAAAUUAAAAUUGCCUCUCUUUUUUACUUUUCUUAUAAUAUCCAUACCGAAGAAUCAUUUCAAGAGACAUGCCUUGUAAACCUAUGUUCUGGCUGCUUCGUGUAUUUUGUCAGCGCACUUCUAGGGGUACUUGUCCAUGCUAGUUACUACUAAAGGUACCUGGAUUCAGUCUUGGGUGUUGAUGUUUGUGUGCUUCAUUUCUUCCAGGAAAAUGGCUAUUUGGCCAUAACCACUUCCAUUCUGAAUCAACUUUCAUACUCCUUUUAGUACUGAUCAGACUUUCAGUAAGACUUACAAUGAAAAGUGAAAGCAAAAUUAUAGAAACAAGAAGUAUAUUUUGUACUGUUUAUACUGUUCAUGCCUGUAUUAGUGGACCCAUGUGAGAAAUAUAUAACAACCUGAAAUAAAUACUAUUUAAUUGUUUUAUAUUCAUUCCGAAGUGCGAUGCAUACAGUUGUUCCAAUGGAGCAAGUUUCUGGAUUUCCAUCUUUUUUUCAUCCCAGUGUUCAAAGAAAUUAAUUCCAUUACAGUUUCUGGCCAAGAAUAUUAUGUAUAUGUGUAUUAAGUGCUGAUCUUAUAUUCUAUUUAAUAAUAGUAAGCUGAUAUAGUACUUAAAUGGUUCCCAUAAUUACUGGACAUAGAAAUUUAAAUGUUAUGUUUUGUACAUUAAAUCUAGUAUAUUAGUUCCUAUGUAGAUACAACUUUAUUUUUUAGAUGCAUUGCCCAAUUGUAUCAAUUGAAAUGUCCAUAUAGAAGCAGUAUGUAUGUAUAAGACAGUAUUAUUUAUAACCUAUGUAGAAGUUGAACACUAAUUCAUUGCAUUGUUAAGGUGGUAGUCCUGGCUGUUGUGCAAUGUAGUCUCUAGCUGUAUACCAACGUUCUUGAAGAACAUGCUGCUUCUAUCUUUAGGUCUGAAGUGGGAGAUUUAUCAAAUGGAUGAUUUACAUAUGGCUAGAAGGAAGUUCAGGCCAAGGGGAUUGGUCACUCAGUCAUGGGAUAAGGGGGGUUAUGGAAUUGUGCGUCGGCCAAUAAGAAAGAUCCCUUUCUAAGCCGUCACAGAGGAAGGGUGGGCCAAAGAAAAUGUGGUCUUCUUAAGAGCCCAGAAAUGAAGGUGGGAUCAAAGAAAGUUGUUUUUGGUGAGAAUUUUCUUCCAUUUCAUGGUGUGAGACUUCCAUGACCUGCUGAGGGAGAUACUUGUCCUCUCUGUUGACGAGAUAGGCUAAAACUCGAUCUUUAUCACUUCCCAUAUGUUUUGUCAUUGUGUGUUCCUCUGUUUGAGAUUGAUGUCAGUCUGUUUUUUUGGUUGAGUAAUCUGGAUGCUGAUUGUUUCUAUCUUUUAUCCUUUGGCCUUUUCCCUUUUGUUAGGGAGUUAAAUAUAAAGUAAAAAAUUUGUAACAUUUCAAAACAAAUCAAACUCAUAUUAUAGGCUUGCUCUGUCCCAUCCAGUACUUCACAGCACAAUAAAAAAAAUAAACUGCCAUAUUUCCUAUGCUGACUUGCUGAUUAAUCAGUGGCAUGUCGCUGGGUGCAUAUUAGGGGGGAGGGGUGUGUACACAGUGUCUGUAUUCUGUAUAAAUUCAUGUGUACAAUGAAUUCACUUAAACUUUGCUUGUGGUUUUUUGAAAGCUGAAAUAAUAUUUUGUUGUCUUCCAUUUUUAUUUACUAGGUCUGUCUUAUUUUCCAGGCUUCUUCUUUAUGUAAUUACUUCAUACUGUAAUGUUCUUUUGACAUGCCAGCCUCCAUGUUUGUGACCUGUUUACAGUGAGUAAUAAAAAUCUAACAUACUGAGCAAUCCA